AAUCAACGCUGGCGGCGUGCCUAACACAUGCAAGUCGAACGAGAAAGUGGAGCAAUCCAUGAGUACAGUGGCGACCGGGUGAGUAACACGUGAUUAACCUACCCUCGAGUGGGGGAUAACUCCGGGAAACCGGAGCUAAUACCGCAUAACAUCGCGAGGUUUAAGUAUCUUGCGAUCAAAGGAGCAAUUCGCUCGAGGAGGGAGUCGCGGCUGAUUAGCUAGUUGGCGGGGUAACGGCCCACCAAGGCGAUGAUCAGUAGCCGGCCUGAGAGGGCGCACGGCCACACUGGAACUGAAACACGGUCCAGACUCCUACGGGAGGUAGCAGUGGGGAAUUUUGCGCAAUGGGGGAAACCCUGACGCAGCAACGCCGCGUGGAGGAUGAAGUCCUUUGGGAUGUAAACUCCUUUCGACCGGGAAGAUUAUGACGGUACCGGAGGAAGAAGCACCGGCUAACUCUGUGCCAGCAGCCGCGGUAAUACAGAGGGUGCGAGCGUUGUUCGGAAUUAGUU
This 512-nucleotide ribosomal RNA is filed under the name uncultured bacterium. RNAcentral describes it as "bacterial SSU rRNA". It matches the Rfam family "Bacterial small subunit ribosomal RNA", at positions 28 to 556 of the family's 1533-position model. The record is from RNAcentral.